UCUCUCUCUCCUCCCCCCCCCCUUCCUUUCUCUCUCUCUCCUGUCAAUAACAAAUCUUCACGUCUUUGUCUCGGCUUCCAAUUCCGGCGAACACCAGCACGGCGCUAUUGGACCUUGCACCACCAUCGUCACCUUCAAAUUCCAGAAAAAAAUUACAGAUCGAAUGAAAAUGAGAGAGGAGCAGGAAGCUCGUCGGCGGCCGUUUGAUCGCUGCUUGAUGAUUGUGAUCGGAAAGGUGAGAGGAGGAUCGCGACGAUGAUGAAGGUGCACGGCGAGGCGAGGCAAGACAGCUCAGGCAUCGACGACAUCAUCUAGGGCUCAGUUUGGUGUCGACUCCUUUAAGCCUCUUGAUUUUCAAGCCACCUGAUUCUCAUGAAGGGCGCGGUUUGGCCACUAUAUCUCUGUAGCAACAGCUCCGACGCGUCUCAUGCCUCCACCGCGUAUCAAAGAGUUCUUUCCCUUUGCAUUUGUAGUAGUAGAUUUUGAAAAUCAUGUGAAUUUGGAUAUUGAAGCCUAUAUUGACCAAGAGAUCAUUCGGCCAACUAAAAAUUUUGGAAAUGAAGGCUCGUGCUGAAGGUGGCAAAUGAUGCAUAUGGGUCUAGAGCGUCACCAUUGAAAAAUGACAGUAGCAUUACAACAUUGACAAUAGCUUUAUACAACUAUUGUAAUAGAUUUUCACAACUAUAGUAGUGGCUUUUUACAAGUAUGGAAGUAGCUUUUUAUAUAGUUACAUUAUUAUUGAACC
Molecule: long non-coding RNA, 745 nt
Organism: Rosa rugosa (rugosa rose)
Lineage: Eukaryota; Viridiplantae; Streptophyta; Magnoliopsida; Rosales; Rosaceae
Exons: 3
Source: RefSeq, a predicted model, not a curated record